Molecule: ribosomal RNA, 253 nt
Filed under: uncultured bacterium
Lineage: Bacteria
Description: partial 16S ribosomal RNA
Rfam family: Bacterial small subunit ribosomal RNA
Source: RNAcentral
CACGUACUGUGCGAACGUUAUUCGGAAUCACUGGGCUUAAAGGGUGCGUAGGCGGCGAUUCAAGUCAGAUGUGAAAUGCCUGAGCUCAACUGAGGCAUUGCGUUUGAAACUGAUUCGCUUGAGUAUUUCAGGGGUGUGCGGAACUGCCAGUGGAGCGGUGAAAUGUGUUGAUAUUGGCAGGAACACCGGAGGCGAAAGCGGCACACUGGGGAAUAACUGACGCUGAGGCACGAAAGCCAGGGGAGCGAACGGG